RNAcentral lists this ribosomal RNA (403 nucleotides) under uncultured bacterium. RNAcentral describes it as "partial 16S ribosomal RNA". It matches the Rfam family "Bacterial small subunit ribosomal RNA", at positions 29 to 526 of the family's 1533-position model. The record is from RNAcentral.
AUUGAACGCUGGCGGCAGGCCUAACACAUGCAAGUCGAGCGAGCGGCGGACGGGUGAGUAAUGUAUGGGGACUGCCCGAUAGAGGGGGAUAACUACUGGAAACGGUGGCUAAUACCGCAUACUAUCGGAUAACCCAUAUGGGAUGAGCUAGUAGGUGGGGUAAAGGCUAACCUAGGCGACGAUCGCUAUCUGGUCUGAGAGGAGGAGCAGCCACACUGGGACUGAGACACGGCCCAGACUCCUACGGAGGCAGCAGUGGGGAUGAUUGCACAAUGGGCGCAGGCAUGAUGCUGCCAUGCCGCGUGUAUGGAGAUGGCCUUAGGGGUGUAAAGUACUUUCAGCGGGGAGGCGUUACCCGCAGAAGAAGCACCGGCUAACUCCGUGCCAGCAGCCGCGGUAAUAC